This 1094-nucleotide long non-coding RNA is filed under the name Oryzias javanicus (javanese ricefish). RNAcentral's name for it is "lncRNA (ENSOJAG00000017926.1)". Lineage: Eukaryota; Metazoa; Chordata; Actinopteri; Beloniformes; Adrianichthyidae. The record is from RNAcentral.
CCCGCCGCUAGGGGGCAGCACCGGAUCAUGAAACCUACAGGAAAUGAAACGGGGAAGAAUUUGUUUUUAAGAGUUUGUAGCAACAGGUUGUUGUUUUACUUUUUUAGCUUCAUAUGUCUUUGUUUUGCUCUUUUAUAAUUACUUUGUUUUGUUGGAAUCUAACAAUUGUCGCUUUAAACUUCCACCUUUUGCUCUAAAUUUGGGCCAAACCGCGUUUUUUCUGAAGCUGAUUCAAGCGAAAGCGGGAAGUUUGAAUGGAGUGAGCUAACUUUAGCCUGCAUGCUAACAGGUAAAGGCUCACCUGUCGACAUGUUCUCGUCUUCCUCCCCUCCCCUUCCUCACGGUUCGGUUCGGUCGUCGUGCGGUUCGGAAACCGCAGAAGUUUUGCUCCGCUCCACACGGGUUCUUCCUCCGAACCGGAGCCGUGUGUCCGAAUCAGGUCCUCGAUCCGUCCACAUCAGUGUUCAGAAGCUGCCGGACUCUACGGGGGUUAGGCCGAAGCGAACCGAACCGGAACCGAGACCGAAGAAGCACACACACCCUCCGGGAAGCCUGGAGGUGGAACCGGAGCCAGAUGAAGACGUGCUGACAUCGCGCUUCACAGCCGGAGGUCGAGGAGCCGUUCUGGGAGCUCUGAGGAGGCGCUCAAACAGCGCCUCCAACAGGAAGGAGGUGCGAGUGCAGCUUCUCCCCCAGGAAGCCUUGCAGAGAGAUCGUCACGCUGCAGCCGGGGUCAGGGUGCAGACGGAGGCAGCUGCUCCUCCCAUCGGGGUAACUGCUUUUGACCAGCUGAGAAACACACGUCGAUCCAUCUUCAUUCAUUCAUUCAUUCAUCUCUGUGGCCUUCAGGGUCAGUCGGAUUUAGAGACUCGAGUGUCUCGACUGCUGGAAGACAUCCACAACGUGCUGGACUCUCACAGGUACUGACUCCUCUGGAAAACCUGAAAAAAUCUGAAUUUCUGGGUGUUUUUUUUCAUAUUUGCUGCUAGAGCUGCCACAAACGAUUAUUUUAAUAGUCGACUAAUCACCGAUUAUUUUUUCCAAUUAGUCGACUAAUCGGGUCAUGCUCAAACUGGAUGUAAAACACACAUCUU